Molecule: long non-coding RNA, 414 nt
Filed under: Physcomitrium patens
Lineage: Eukaryota; Viridiplantae; Streptophyta; Bryopsida; Funariales; Funariaceae
Description: long non-coding RNA (PPAT_LNC000873)
Source: RNAcentral
AUCUUCAAUGCCCUAUAACUCCUUCAUCCAGACUUAGAAUUUAUCAAAUAGUACAUGUAAAGUGUAGCUAAGAAAUUUUUCUCUCCAACUUCAGUCACCAAUCUUUCAUUGCUCUUUGUAUGCAUAUGUUAUGCUCUAUAGAGUGACAGUAGGUACAAAAUUGAUACCUUAACUUUGAGUGCCAAUAACUCCUUCAUAAAAACUCCAAAUUAUACAAAAUUUACACCUAAGUUGUACUCAAAAUCUUAAACUUGCUGAUUCUAGCCUCCAAAGCUCAAAUGACCUCGAAAAAAAAACCCUAAUCCCUAAUAAGGUCUCACACAGCUUCCUUGAAGCCCAUUGGGCAUGGCCUUUGACCAAUAGGAAUGAAGUUUCUCUUUCCUUGCCUUCAUCCAACCAUGCCUUUCUUUCAUC